This is a non-coding RNA of Equus caballus (horse), 15927 nucleotides long. The record is from RefSeq and is a predicted model, not a curated record. NCBI's taxonomy places the organism in Eukaryota, Metazoa, Chordata, Mammalia, Perissodactyla, Equidae.
GCCCAAAGAAGGUUCUAAUAGAUAGUUAAAUUUGUAGUUUCUUACUAUAUAUUAUAUUUUUCAUUUAUUCAUUUAAAAAUAUUUAUUGUGCAAUGACUAUCUGCUUACAAUGUUUCUGUUCACUGAAAUAUAUACAUGAACAGGAUAGAAAACAUUCUUAUUUUCACAGAGCUUACCUUCUCAUGGGGGCAGACAAUAAACAAACUUGUAAACUGUAUCAGUCCGCAUUUAUACUACAAUAAUGCUGUAAAACAAACAAUUCUACAAUCUCUGAAUUGAAACACCAAACGUUCAUUUGUCUCAUUAGCAGUUCUGUGGGUCAGCUGGAAGGUGACCGAUCUUAGCAGGGUUCAGCUUAUCUUGGCUCAAAAGUGUCGACUGGGAUCAGAUCUGCUCUACUGGUCCAGGGAUUCAGUUUCUCCCUGGACCAGUAGCUAUCUAGGUCGUGUUCUUCUCAUGAGGAAUGGCAGGAGCACAAGAGAAGAAGCCAGAUCAUGCCAGCAAGUCUAAAACUCUGCUUCUGUCUCAUUUACUGCCACUUCAUUAACCAAGACAAUUCACAUGCCAAGCCCAAUAUGAAUGGAUCAAAGGAGUAUUUUUCAUUCAUAGUAGGAAGAACUGAAAGUUAUAUGGAAAAAACUGUGAAUGUAUACUUUUAUAAUAGGAAAGGAAUGAAGAGUUGAAAAUAAUUCAAUCUAUCUACACAGUCUGCUCUCAUGGUAACAAUUUUUCAGGAUCCUUCUGCAUAUGGGAUAUACUCAUUACCAUCCCAAGAAACCCACAGAGGCUCACCCAAUUAUGGCAACAGGUUCAAAGUGCAUGAUCCCACGAUCCAUGUCAGGUCUAGAUAGAACUUCUCUCGAACUGGAUGUCUAUGAACUGAAAUGAUAUGUUAUCUGCCCUCAUAUGUCUAAUAUACUAUGUUAGAAUACGGAAAGGGUAAACAAACGGUUGCAUUCAACAAGGAGAAAACUGGGAGAAACAGAAGUCUCUGAUAGAUAGCAAUUUUGAAAUUCUCCUGGGCAAAUUUUUCCAGGUUCCUGUCGCAAGAGGUUGCACACGCCAUGGUUCUGCACCUGGGAGUUGAUCACCAAUAUCCGGUUGCACAUGGUCUUUGCUCGCCUCUUGGAACUUCUUCCUUUUUCACCCUUGGCUUUUCUGAUGAGUACUGGAGAACAUGCCCUUCUUUGUAACUAGCAGAUUUCUCAUCCUGCUUCCUGCCUGUAAAAUUUUGGGGGGCCCAGAGAUCUUUAUAUAUCUCAAACAGACAUAGUAUUUUUAAAUCCAAGCUGAUGGCAAUUUUUCUACUACAACUCUCUCCAAAACUUUAUGGGUUUUCUAUGUAUGAUUCCAGUCAACUCCACGUGCCAAAUGCCUCACCCACCAUUCUUUUAGAGAUAUACUUCUUUCUAGGCAUAAGCGUAGGUACUUUGCCUGUAUUAGUCAUUUAUGAGCUGCAUCCUCAGUGUCCUUAAUCUUUUUAGGGGUCUUAACAAAGAGUGUGACAAUCACUUUCUUGAUUUUGUCUUGGCUUUACGACAAUGUUCCAAUGGCUACACCUUUAGAUAGAGAGAAAUGAUUUAAUUUUUCAAACUUACAAUUCUCAGAAUUUCUAGGUUCUCUCAAUUUCCCUCAAUUCUGCUUGCAAACCAGUUUUUUUCCCCAAGCUUCUUUCUUUCUUGUAGUAACUUAUCAAAUACAGAUACAAGCAGCCAACUCAUACUAUGAACACUCUGCCUCAAAAACUUCCCAGCCCAAUGCUAUAAGUAUACUUAGUACACUUUUUGCCUUCUGGGUUAUUGCACUCAAUAGUUUUAUUGAGUGUUUUGUCACUAUGUAAUAUGAGUUAUUGUUUCAGCUUCUUAUUAUGGUUUUUUAUAGUUUUUUUCUCUAUUUACCACAUGAUCCAAACCAAAUGACACAAAUUUUGAAUUUUUUUGACAGCAGAAGCCCAAUUCUGGUAUAAUUUCUAUAUUAUUUAGCAAUUGCCACGUUAAUGAAGAGUGACAAGCCUCACAUCCAAACCCAAAUCUCAGAGGCUCAAACAAGUGUUUAUUUUCUUGUUCAUGGUCCCAUGUGUUGGCUGAAACAGCACUACUUCAGGUUGUGGGGGAACUUGGUUCUAGGCCUCUGGUCAGGUUCAGUUUUGUUCUAAGAAUCUUUAUUUUUCUUCAAAAAGUGACUACUUACAGCAUAUUUUUCUUAGAGGGAAUGGCAGGAACACCAGGAUGCAAGCAAGACACACAGCAUAUUUAAAGUCUCUGUUCUUACCUAGUCUGCCAACAUUUAAUUAACCAAUGCAAGUAACAUGGCUAAGCCUAACAUCAAUGGGGUGGGAGUUGUUUUCUACCCAUAGCUACAUGUCCUGUGGCAUGUAUAUUAUAGCUGGGAGGGAAUCAAGAACUGAGAACAGUUCAAUCUAGCACACAUGCAAACAAGAAAAUAUCAACUAGUAUAAAUGCUAUGAAGGAAAUAAAGCAGAGUAGUGUUUAGAGAAUGCCCGGAAAACUAUUAAGAAUAGUUUCUUGGAGAUAACAUUUAAACUGAGGUUGAAUGCCUUCCAGGCAGAAGGAAUAGAUGUCACAAAGACCCAGAGGCCAGGAGGGUGAUGGAGGAACUGAAAUAAGACCAUGGGGAGGAUGGUAGGAGAUGAAAUCAAUGAAGUAGGUAGAUGCCAGAUUAUUUAGACCUCUAUUAUUAUCACUGCGAUAUGCAAUACAAUAUAACUGGACAUUUCAGAGGAUUAUUUACCUAAUACUGAAAAAAAGGGAUUUCUUGUGAGUUCUACUGGUUGUCAUGAUAACCCAUGAGUAAGGUAGCUGAAUUCAACCCCUCUGGAAAGUUUUAUACCAAUUGAAUUGAAUAAUCAAUUCUAAAUAAUUUGUCUUUUCACUGGUUCUUAUUGGAGUGUUGGCCUGCUAAGUUGUUUCAAUGGAAAUGCCUGAAAAAACUAAGAAUUCUUACCUAGAGAGGUACUAGCUGAAAUACUUUAGAGGUAAAAUGGUGGCCUCUGAAACUACUUGGCUUCCUAACAAUUCCAGACUUUUCUUUCCCCUGGGCUACUUAGAGCUAAAUGGAAAUAUAAAGGCUUUGGAGCCUCCUUUCCCCCCUUAGUCUCACUCUUGGGAAAAAUCUCUUAUUCUUUUGUUCCCCAGAGGGUUGUCUAGAUCUAAAAUAGCAACAGCUCCGAUUGUUGGUGAUAUCUUUUCCUGGGAAAGUCUUUGUGCUGGUCCUGUGGACAGGGAGGCAACCUUGGGGGUAAACCCCAGAGGUACAGCUCAUGCCCUCGGGAAGCUCAUGAUUAAUUGGGGUGUAGAGUAAGUUUAAAUGGGGGACAAACAGUGCGGUCACGUGCAAAGUUGGCUAUAAGUAUCUCAAAAUUUCUCUCAAUCAGAAACACAAAGUUGCUGGAUGCUGAACUGCCCUAAAUUAUGAAGUAUUGAGCACUUUCUGGAAAUGACCAUUGAUUUUUGUCCUAUGUGAAAAAUGUUGUUAAAAAUUGGCAUUUAAUUAGCCAGAUUUUCCUUUGUCCUCAUCUUUCUGUAGACUUAAGGAAAGGACAGCGAUUCUCUUUUCAAAUGCAUGAAAAAAAGGAAAUCAAAACCAGGGAUACAGAGAAGCCGCUGCUCUCUCUGGGUUAUAGUAACACCUCUACAGGUGUGCCCUUGACUGCUAUUGAGAAUGACCAGCUAAACAGGUGAAACACACAGCUGUAAAUUUGUACUGCAGCAUCUUUUAGCAAGAAAGGGGCUGUGCCUGGAUGAAUCAGAAUAUGCUGGCUGGCGGAGCUCAGACACAAUGAUGAGGUUUUUCAGGAGAAAUAAAUGUGACAGUGUUUAUUUCACACACAUUGUUUGUCAGCGGACUUCAAAGCAGUGGGCAGGGAUCAGUUGCGCAUUACCACCUGUCCUGUAGACUGUGCCUCUUCUCUUCAGGUGGACCCUGAAGUCAUCGGCAUGGAGGCAGCUCAUCCUCUGUUCAGCUCCUGUGCCACAAGGUAGGACAGGAAUCCCACCAGGAGGAGGACUGGAGCCCUGGCUCCUCACCACCCCCAUUGGACUCCAGCUGCCAGUAAUGCCCUAAGAAGAGAGCAUGCCGCCGGGCCUGAAGCAAGCUUCCAGCCCAUGUAGUGAGUGCUGAGCACGUGGCAAGCAUUAAACACAUCUAAAUGGAGAGGCAUCUUUGUGAUAAAUAGGACCCCAGGAGCUGAUUUCCAUUGGAAGAUGAUGGGUUGGGGCCCAGAACAGAUAACACAAUAAGAGAAGAGCCCAAGAAUUUGAGAGGUUUGGAACAUGAUGCUGGAGGAAUAGCACUCCUAGAAGAAAUGAAGAUACUUGCUUAUCCUUGGUUCACCUGAGUGUGAAGCAUCCAGUGAAAGUGACAAGAGAAGAUGGUGUUUGUAAAGUCUACACAUGCAGUGGUGUCCUCACCUUUAUAAAACAGAUGCCAUUGUCAAUGAUUUUCUAGCACUCUUUUCACUAUACAUACAGCUUGAUGUACUUGAGCAGAUCUUUUACCUAAUUUUUUAACCCUCUAAGAUGCUAAGACAGAGCUGAACCUAUGGUGCAAGCAGAAUGAAUGGAAGGGAAUAAGUGCAAAGAGAAGCAUUUUAUUUAACUUGGGAAGAUAAACAGAUAGGUCUUACUUAAAUUAGUGCAGAGGUAUAGAACUAUUGGCUCGAUCAUUCUUUAUGUGAUUGUCUCUUGCAAGUUUUAGUAAAAUAUUCUGAUUUGGGGGAAAUUUGUUUCCUUGCUAAUAUAAGAUAAAAGAGGAAAAAUUUAAAAUAUUUGCAGCUCUUUCUCUAAAAUUUCAGGCUAAUUUUUCCUCUCUUGUCUUGAUAUUUCUUUCUAUGUGAAUCAUUCUUGUAUAUUUCUUCCACUGCAUUUUUCAUGAAGAAAACAAGGAUUAUCAAAGUUAAGCAGACAAGUUCAAGGCAGAGCUUCAAGCUUCUCCAAGAAAUGGUUCCAGACUUGUUUACAUGUAAUGCUCUUGCAAGCAAGACACAUGUCUGUUUUAUCUUUGUUGGUAUCUGGCACAUAUUAGGGAAACAGUAAAUUCUCUGUCUCAAUUAAUGAGCAUAGAAAAAUGAAUGAAGAAGUAGAUGAUUUUGUAAGACUCUCAAAGAAAAUUUAUAGAAUAUUUUGGAAAUGGGCUCACUUUAUUUCCAAAGGAAAUUUUACUUUCAAAUUAAAAAAAAAAUUCACCCAAAUGAGAUUUUGGGGGAUUUCAUGUGAUUAACUCUUUACAUGAUCUUGUAGUAAUUAUGCAGAAAUUUCUAUUUAUGUAAACACAGUGAAUGCAUCAUAACACUAGAAUAAGUGUACAAAUACUGCAUGUCAAAUUAGGUUAUAAUCACUUUCAAGGGACGUGAUUUCCUAGUUAAACAGAUUCGUUUACAUCUUGUGAAAUAAAAAAUAAAUGAAAAUAACUAUAUAAAAUCAGGCUUACAGCUGGACAGAUCUUCUUGGCAAUGGUCCAGACACUGAGAGGGAAAGCCCCUCCAUCUGAGAACUGCUCAGGACGCCCAGGAUGACUUUGGAGAGGGGUCCUUGGUUGCUGUCCUGACUGUGUGUCCUGUUCCCGGCCACCUGUGGGGAGUUGGGCUGCCCUCACAUUUAAGACGAGACUCUUACUGUGAGGGGUUGGGGUGGGGUGGGGGGAGUGGAAUAGAAACUUGCUUAGUAAAGGAGAAAACAGAGGCAGCUCAACACUUCACCCUUAGCUAAAAAGCAUAACAGAAAAAGUCAGGGAUCCUCGAACUGAAAAGCAAAUAUUUGAAGCCAGCAUUGGAAUCAUAGAAGUUUAGAGUCAGGGUUUGACUGCCACGGAUCAUCUGGGCCAACCCUCGUAAUACUGACGAGGAAACUGGCUACAAGGCGAGAAACAGCACCAAGACUGAGACCAAUAUCUUUCCUUCCCAAAUCUGGUGCUUAUUUAUGAGAUAAUUGAAGCUGAUUCUUUCAAGUGAGAUAACUUUAAAAAAGCUGCUCAUUUUGAUGCAUAUCUUUGAGAAAUACAUUUCACAUCACGCUGACAUAGCCAACACUUUCCUCAAUGUUCCCUUAUUUCAACAGCAGGAGGGCACAAUUGUAAACCUAUGUUGUUACAUGGUGUCAUAAUAUGGUGGCAUUCUCUAUGGCUAAUUAUGCAGAGCAGUUUGCCUUUCACUAACCUUCUGUAAACGGGGUGCAUUUGCCUAUCUUUCCUCCGUGUCCCCGUCAAUAUUCAUCUACUACUUAUUUUUGCUAAUUAUAAGAAGUCACUAAAACAGUGAUUUCUUUUUUAACCCAUGGGUCCUGACUUGGAGGGAGUUCCACAUUUCUGCUAUUGAGUAAAAUAUCUUUUUUUUUUAGUUUAAUUAAUGCUCAUCUUUGUUUAAAAUAUAUUUGUUGAACACUUACUCUAUACUGUGUUGUGCAUACAUUAGUUUCUUACCAUGACCCAUUGCUUGAACUGUCCUGAUUCUGAGGUUGGCAAACUAUAGCCUGUGAGCCAUAAAAUAAAUAAAAUUCUAUCGGAAUCCAGUCACACUCAUUUGUUUGCAUGUUGUCUAUGGCUUUCUAUGGCUACAACAGCACAGCUAAGUACUUGUGAUAGAGACUAUAUGGCCCAUAAAGACUAAAAGAUUUGCGGUUUGGCCCUUAACAGAAAAUUUAGCCAACCCAUGGUCUUGAGUGUGAACACUUGAUUUUCUAGCUGGCUUGGUAAGAGAGCCAAAUAAAAUAAAUGACAUUAAAUUGUAGCUACCCGGAGCGCUACGCACUCUCAAGUGUUUGAAGUGUUUUUGGCCACAAGUCACAAUCAUGGCACUAAGCGAUGAGGUGAGAACUAGCAAAAUCCUAGUCUUCUGAGAGAUACAAGGCUUCUCCAGAUUUAUUUAAAUUAUUUUCAAACCUUAUUCCUAGAACCAUCCCUAAUCUGUACUAAUACUACAAACUUGUAGCUUUUGCAUUACAAAUUUAUUAUUAUUUCUUUUACCUCUUUUUUUUUUUCAGGAAAAAGGUAAUUAGGCUAUAAACAGAGGUCUGACAACUAAUUUCAGUCAACGCCACAUGAAUACAAAGCAAGCAGAAAAUUUUAGUCAUGUGAAAUUAAAAUAGAUAUAUUAUAAUGACAUUCUAAGAAAUCUAAUUUUUUGCCCUUUGUUUUUUCCUCCCUUCCCCAUUCUCAUGUAAUCCCCUAUUCUGUAUAGGUAGUGACACGUACUAAUUUAGGUGAACAAGAGCUCACUAGCUCACUGCUACAGCUGUCCUCAGGGCUCCUUCCUCUGGUCCCCCUACUGAUCUUUGGGUGGAAAGGCGCUUCUUCCCUCUCCUUCUCAGGGGUUCCUUAAUGCUGAAAAGAUAGCACCAAGCAAGGGAAAGUUCUUCAUGGCCCAUUCCUUACAUUUUCAAAUUUUAAUUGGCAUUAUUAAGAGCAAGUGUACUGAAUCUAUAUGAUCGCUUCAAGAAUUUAAAGGUUAGCAGCAUUGUGAGUAUGAGUGUGCAUGUGUAUGCAUAUUUCUGGGAGGAGAUCCCAACAUUGCUGUGUUCUGUCACUCCACAACCAUAUUAAAUAUGCAUCUCAAUGUCAGCAGCACCUUGAGAUGUUAUCUCCAAAAUUAUCACCUGCCUUCUGAAAACCAUAACCCUAAAAAUAUUGAUUUGUUAAAAGGCAGGAUCUGAAGGAAUGAGUCUGUGUCUCUGUGGAUUAUCCUAAUCAAAUAAGGGUAGUAUUAACCUAGAUACUCACUGAUCUGCCAGUAUUUGGUCUGAAAUGUAGGCAUCUCAACUGAAGUUAUGUGCUUCAUUCUUUUGAAUAUUUCUCCCAGACAUUUAAAUACAUUACCGCUAAGCCAGAACCAAGAAAAACAUAAAAAGCAUUUUAGGGAAUAAAUUCAGCAAGUUUCCAUUUGUACCAGAUAGUAAAAUUGUUGGCAUGCAUUAUGAGGCGUGUGUAUUUUUCAGCCUGUCAAGUCUCAGUCACAUGCUCAAGGUGGAAUAUUUCGGCUGCCAGGGGUUGUGUAGAAAGGUCUCAGAACAUUCAGGUAGUAGUACUUCCUAAUAAAUAGAGAGUUUUCAAGUCAUCUGCCAUAGCUAUUUAGACAAGUCAGAAGAAAAGCUUAUUUCAUUAAAUAUGCUAUAAACGUAACUUCAAUGAAGGGUAGCCAGCUAAAUACAAGAAGAAAAGACUGGUAGGGAUUCUCUCCAUUCAAGUGUUGAGCUUUACACAAUUGUAUUUAGAGGCACUUCUGUUACUAAGGAGGCUAUGAGUUGAUCGACUGUGUCUUAGAAUUAACUACAGUGGUGGAAACACAAAUUGCAAACCAGCAUGAAGUCACAAAGGGAAAGGAGCAAAGAGAAGAAUUUGAAAGUCAGGGACUCCUAUGGACUUUUCGUUUUCCUUUAAGAAAAUAAGUGUUGGACCAGCUGCCCAGAGUCCGCCAUUAGUCGGAGCAAGCCUAAUUAUUGUUAGGCAGAGGGCCUAAUGAGAACUGCUACACACGGCCUUCCUUUCUAUUCUCAUUUGCUUCUGUUUCCAGAGGAGUCUGGGUUUUGUUGGAGGUAAAUGAUUAUGUUCCCUCUGCUCGACGUACUAGAAUGAAAUAUGGUUGGUAAGGAAAGGGAGGACCUGGACUGGAAAGGGUCUUGGCCACAAAUUGUUUGUGUGCGCAUUAAGGAAGGUUCCAGUGUAACACUGUUUGCAGCGGAAGAGGAGGUAAUGAGGGCUUGGAGCUGGCCCACCAUCUUUGAAGCCUCUUGUGGGCACUCCUCCUUCCUCCCGGGGAGUGUCAGUCACAGCAUUCUCAGUGCUGUCUUUGACCUUUUCACUGGAGAAAUCGAGCGCAAAUCAAACUUAAGCUUUAAUACUUAUAAGAAAGUGAUAAGACUUUUUCCUCUUGUCCUGAUUUCUUGACUGAUUUUUCUCAAGAUUCAAGGCUCGGGAAAAUAUUUAAGUUUCCCACAAAUGGCUGGGAUGGAAUUUCCUCUUGAAAACGAAUCACAAUCUAUCAAAGAAUAAUUCUAUGUAUUCUGUUACAUACAUCUUUGUGUUUCCUAUGGUGACAUUAUGACACAUUUGUUAACUAAACCAACAAUUGUUGGAUAAGCAAUGAAGAUAUUUAGCUAUUAUUUGCAUAUCUCUGUCAGUUUACCGAGUGAUUCUAUGACUAUUAGCUCUUUUGCUAUUAGAAGCUAAGCCCAUAGCAGAGAAAACUUUAUUAUCCUCAUUUUAGACGUGAGGAAACAGACUCCAUGGCAAAGAUUUGGCACAAAUUAGGUGGCUGAUAGUUGCCAGAUUCUUGAUUAAAACUCAUGACUAGAUUUGUAAGCAUUAUCCUAAGCUCCCCAUGAGUCUAUAAAAUCUUUGAAACCUUUAUCCAAUGUGGAAAACUUGUUUUCUAUUGGAUUUUUAACUCUAGAGUCCUCAAAUCAGAGUAAAGCCAGUUGAAAUCCCCGAAGCUUGUCUGAGUCGCUGGCAGUAGUGGUGUCCUGGGGCUGGCUCUACUCACAAAAGCCAGUUGAGCCCAUCUCUUCCCACCUCCAGCUUCAGUGAUAAUAUGUUGAUAGCUUGAGAUCAGCCAUGGCAGGAGUGUUUACAGCACAGAAAUUGCCAAACACUACAAAUCAAAGAGAGUUGGUUGUCAACUCCCAAGAAAAUGGUUGUCAACCAUCUACCAGUACACACUACUGGUUAGAAAUCUGGGCAACCAGGCAAGGAAAACUGUAGUCGGGUUUCUUGAUGCUUAGAAUAUGUUCCAAUGUUUGUAAGACACUAAGUUUCUUUGCAAAACUUGUGAGUAUAUCCUUUUGCAGUCUUUUGAAACAAUGCAUAAGAGAACAUCAAAGUAUCUUCUCCAAGAGGGAGAGCGAGGUCUGGAAAUAAAAUUAGCUACUUGUUUCAGGCUGUGAGUGUUUGCGAACGUGUAAGUGUGCUUUAAAUUACACAUAAUUUUAAACAACUGUGUAAAAAGAGUUUUAAAAGUUUAAUGGUGCUGAACCAAGAAUAGGAAUUAAAAAUUGAAAAGAAAAUACAAAACUAUACCUUGUUUUCUGCUUUAAAAAAUAAGUUUCCUUCUCAUUUGCAAUUAACAUGCUGAGAAUUUGCAUAAAAUGUGUAAAAUUAGAGAUAAUUGAACUACCGUAGCUAUAAACGUGGCUUUUCCAUUUAAAAAAAUAAAUCAGAUGUCCACUAAAAGGGUAGAAGAGCCAUUCCCCUGCUCUCCUCCGUCUCCCAUUUGGGUCUCUGGUAUUUUUCACACUUUUAUAGCUGAUUUUUAUUGCCAAACAAUCCGUGGAGUUUGUGGCAGCUCUGAGACAGCAGCCGGCCCAGGCAGGCCUGUUAACUCUGGCAUGUUAAGGACCCUUCAGAAGGUUUCAAAUCCAGCCUCAGCACCCAGGUCAGCACAUCAAAUCCAUGGAGACCUUAGGGAGGCCCAGAGGGGGUUAGAGGUGAGGGGGACAUGGAGAGAAAGGAAGACAAGAAACCCCCCAGUACAGAAAUGCCUUUAAACUAAACAUCAAUCGCUGUUUUUGUUUCCCUGGACCAAGCUUUCCCCUGGGAACCUCAAGUUUAAGAGGGUAGGGAUGCAAAAGAGUACACCAAUGCUCAAAGUGACUGUAGAUGAUGGUCCCAGACUGAUGAUUGUGUUUCCGUUGAAGGAGACUUUCUUCCCAGGGUAAGAUAGGGCCUCCAUUCUGAAGGUGAUCUCAGGACCAGCCCCGAGUAACUCCACAAAAUGUGUCUUAGACCUCUUCCUGAUCGCCCAUCACUAGGUGAGCUUUAUCUCUCCCAACUUGGGGCACAGACUUAUGAUGAUACACUGACCAACGGCAUGCUAUUUGUUUUGCUGCUCUCCUGAGAUGUUUAUAACAGUGGCUUUUGGCAGGCACUCUCUUCACUUUGUCUCAUCUGUCCUCUUCCAAGAAAGCAUAAGCACUUCAAGGGUGGAGACUAUGCUUAUAAGUGGAGCAUUGGGAGCCGGGGAGGUUUCACUCUGAUAAAAUGUGAUAUCAAAAGUAUCCGGGGAAAAACGUUGAAUUCUCAGAAAUGUGACAAAGCUCUCAAAGCUAUAUCAAUUGAAAAAUGCUAGCUCUAGUUCUUUUUCUUUUGAAACAGAGUAAAAAAAAAAUCACAGUUUUUUUAACAAAAAACUUGAUAAUAAGUAAAAACAAAGAUAAGGGGUGUCUUAAAGUAGCGAUCUCCCAUACUAAUCCAUUUUAUCUGUGACCCUUAACCAUCUGCUCAUGCCAUGCCUAUGUGUUCUGUGAUAGAUCCCAGAGCAUCUAAGAGGUAUGUAGAAAAUGUUUGUUGGUUUGAUUUGACAUCCUUUAUUCUUAGGAGCCCAGAGCCUUCACGGUCAGCUCCAUCUGGAGGGGUCUGUUCCCGCUUAGUUAUUUGCUGCUAAUGUUCCUACUCAAUCUAAGUCACAUCUCUCUAAAAUAAUAAAGUAAAAAAUCCUGCAGGUCCCUCCCCUUAGACUCCUACCCUCUGUUUGGAAGUUAUUAGCUGAUUUGAUAAUAGGGAAGAGGGUUAUUGAUUUAGUAUGUGACCCUGCCUAGUAGCUUGCUUACCUUCAAUUUGGGGCAUCCUGGAGAUGAUAUGUCAACUCAUAGUAGUGAUUUUGCUGGCAUCUGAGACACCAGAGAAGGCCAGUGAGAAAUAAUGGCAGCAGGAUGUAAGUGUUCAGAAGCACUGCAAACUACCAUGCCCAGAGAACUGUCUUCUGCAUUCUUCCAUUAGGCUGACCCGGAUGUACUCCUCAUUAGCUAUGGCUAUCUAUUUUACUUACACCAUGGCAUGUUCGUUUCCCACAGAGAAUCAACAUCAACAUAAAAUUAUUUUUACAGAUUCUAUUUUCUGUGCGAAGAAGUGUGACUGAGAAGUUAUUCAUAUUUAAUAACAUAUAUAACAUAUACAUAAUAUAUAAUGUAUAUGAUAUACAAUGGUUCUUUAUAUAGCCUAAUCCAAAGUUGUUAGCACACCAGGAUGAAAAAGAUCUGCAAGUGUUGCAUCUUGAAGAAUGAGGGAUGCAGAAGGGCAUCUCGGAUGAGAGAGGAUGGGAAUGCUGGGAAUGAUGUCUGGAACGGGAAAUUGGCACCUGUCGGGGGGAGAGCUAGGAUACAUACUACCAUUUCCCCCUUAAUGUAUGUUGAGAUUGCAUGUAACCUCAGAAUCUUUCUUAACACAGUGUUCCAACAAGCAAUUAAUUGAGGUUGACCAGAGCAACAGUGCCUCUUUGUCAUUCUUGGUAUUUACUAGAAAAGUAUGGUAAAUAAUGCUGUAAGUAGAAUGUGCAAGUUUCUAGAUUAUUUUUUGUAGUUCAUAAGUAGAAUCUUUUCCAAACCUUUGGAAAGACAUGUGCUUUAUAGAUAUUUAAUUCAGUUAUUUUCUUCCUUAUACUCUACCCACCAGCUUUUCAGCCUUAUACAUGAGUAUGUAAAAAAACAAAACUAACUUUCAUUAAAAGAUGGAAAAACCGUAGAAGAAAGGAAUAGGAGUAAAAUAUGUAGCAUGGGAUCUUCAAAGUUUCUGACAGUGGACUUCAAACUUGGAUUUCAAUUUUCCAGCUCUCUACUGUCAAAGAACGUCCUUCACAGCCCAUGCAAGGACUGUGGCAACAAGGACAGGGCUCCAAGAUGCUUGAGGGCUUUGGUGGGGGGGGGGGGGGCACCGUGGCCCAUUUUGGGAUCCCUUACCUUUACCUUUUCACUCGUACUUCCCUCAUGUGAUUACUGAAUGUCCCCUCCAGUGAGUAAUGACCCCUUAGUGUGUUCUCUCCAACUGGGAAACUUCCAUCUUAACCUACUCAAUGUAAAUUCUAUAAUUUUUCAAGAGUCUUUUGUAUAAUAUGGAAACUUCAAGCAGAGGACCCAAGGCAUUUUCUUUCAUCAACCUGAUUCUAAUUUCAUUAAAGCACUAAAAAGAAAUGCAUUUGGCUUUUUACUUGUCUGGUACUCUACUUACUCCGAAGCACAUUCAAAAGCCACCUCUCUGAUGUGAAGACGCCACUGCGGAAUUGUGUAAUUGGACCAACAGUUGCCACUUCUUCACACUCUUGCUACCCCACUUUAUUGCAGAGCAGACUACUGUUUUGCAGGCCUUCCUUAUUGCAUAAAUGGCUACAUUAUCACUGUGUACACAUUAGAACAGGCAAAUGGGCCCCUUAAGGCAAAUAAGGGUUCAAAUAACCCAGACAAGGUAGCCCAACUGAAUUGAGGAUUCACCCUUGUUACAACCUUAUUGCUUUAUGGCACAUGAGCUCGUGGAAGGGACAGACUGCUUCAAGUGUGUUUCUACUGAUCCUGCUGGCAAAUCACAGCUUUAUUACAGUAAUGAGCCUGACCAUAUUUCUGUGCUUAUGCAUAUUAGGCACCAAAUGUAUUUCUGGCCUGCCAGCCUGUGGUAGUAACUAACACAAGCAAUUUGUCCUGGCUUACAGUCUGUGUGCACGCAUUAGACAUGAGCAUGUUAGUUGCUUUGGGUUAUAAAAUACUACAUGUUUCAUCAUGCGUAUUUUUAUAUGCAAAACUUAACUGUAUGCAAAAUAGCUUGGCAAUUAACCAACACAACUUUUUAGUUUACUACAAGAUUAUUGGAUAAAUAUGUGAAUUGAGGACAGUCACAACUUCAAUUCAGCAAUAUUAAAAAUUUCACAGUAUUAUUAAAUACCUAAAGAAAAAGCUGACUUUUUUUUGAACCUGUAGUGUAAGUGUUUAGAUAUUCAAAAUAUUUUUUAAUAAAUCCUUUUUCUCCUCUCAGUGUCAAUUCCACAAAUAACCCUGAGCAACACCCUUUUCAGGAGGCUGUGGAGUUUUAGACUGCGAAUUCCCCCAUAUUCAUUGUGAGCUGACAUUUGGCUUUUGACCCUAACAGCUUGCAGGUAAAGGUGAAUGGUCAUUAUUGUAAUUUCUUCCUCAGGACCGUAUUUUAUGUACGCCAUUUAUUGGGUCCAUGAUUGUUAAAAAAUGACAUCAGCAUAAUUCAGCCCACUCAGUAAAAACAAUGUAUCUUUUUUCCUCUUCCUUUUGACCAUUGGGAUCAUAAAGCUUGGUGCUGUUUGCUUGACUUUAUGACUACAUAGAAAGCAUACCAACUUAAGGGCUUCCUCCAAAAGAGCGUGGUCGUGGGAACACGUCCCCCUGAACGCUUAAUUAAAAUUAACUCUUUCUCUCACUUCCCUGCAAAAUAAAUAAAUAAACAAAAAAAAUACAUGAAUAAAGAAUUCCAAUUUGUGGGAAACUUCUGCUGAGGAAAUUGCUACUUUUGCUACUUCCACACCCAUCGCUUAUUUGAAGUUGUUAGAGAAUCACUUUUUUCCUCCAUUCAGGUCGGAUUUAUGUAAAUGACCACACACGACAGGUGCCUUUAUAUAGUCACUGCUAAACCUGGAAUCAUGUUGUACAGGAGCUGAUAACAUGAAAUAACAUGAAAUAAGUGGGCUUAUCCCUUCUGAAGCUUGUUUUACAGUACUGGUAUUUCUCUUCAGCAAAUCCUGCUGCGUGUUUAAGUAAUACGAUAAAACAAUGUAAAUGUCUUUGUGGCUGAAACUAUUGUUUCAGAAGGAACAUGGCUGUUUUAUUCUUGUCUUUUAUCUCUUCCACAUUGAAUUUUUGAAAACAUGAACAGCUCCCUGGCCUAUGUGUCUAUAAUAAGUUAUUUGCUUAUGAACCCUCACAAUUAUUCACGCACUGAAGAAAAGAAGAAUGGGAGGAAACCCCAUGUCGAUAACAGCAACACCCCAAAUAAAUAUAAACCCAAGACCCAAAUGUGCCUUUUGCAGUCCUGUCACAGGUUAAUAUGGCUCAUGAUGGAUACUUAGUUCUUUGACAGCUUCCCCUGCACCUUCGCUGGGAAGUUGAUAGAAAUUACUCCAGCUGAAUGCUUAAAGCAGAUGUUAUCCCAUUAAUUAGCUUUGGACCCGGGUACACCCGAGACUUUCCCAUUUUCAGGCCGAAAGGAAUUGGUCCCAGUGAGCGUGCUCUAUAUCCACAUUUAGUAUCAUCUCAUAAACAGCAGUGAAAACACAGCAGGCCCUUGAUGAAGAUACAUUAGCUUAUUUCUAAUUUAAAGUUAUGUUGCUUAACCUUAAUGUAAUUGGUCACCGGUGGCCAACUGUUUGUAUAGUGUGUUGAUGACCAAAGAGAUGUAAUAAAUUAUAAAACUCUCUGCUUAAAUGGAGGGAAGGACUGUUUUGUUAAAAGCUUUGCAUGUAAUAAUGGUAAAAUAAUUACACCUCAAGCCGAAUAACUGUGAAGCUAUUAAUACUAACAACAGAGUUGUUCUCAGGAUAGAUCGGUUCAUCCCCAUUUAAAACAAGUACAUGAAUGUGGCUCUUAUAUUUAGCCAAAGAGUAACUUUGAAACGUUCAGUCUCACGCUGAUGAAAAUAAAUAGCUAAGUCAUCCUGUUAUCUCAUUUGAGGAUGAUGGUGGUGGGUAGUGAGGUGGUAGGGUAAAUUGAAAUAAUUAACCAAUCGCUGUGGUUAACUAGGAAACAAAAACCACAAACAAUUCUAUUCUGUACAUCGGUUCAUUGUCACUGGCAGACAUGUUUUUAAAGAAGGCUUGAUUAGCUGGUAAAAUAACUAGGAUAACAAUGAAAUAUGAAGAUAAUUGACACAACUUUAAUGUUUAAUAACGAAUAGCAUGCCAGGGGCGAAAUAAAGGAAAACUGUCUUCUUUUCUGAGAACAGUUUCCGAGUUAAAAUUUCUUGGGCCAAAUAUAGAGAGUGAUUACUUGAGGCUCGUGAACUACUACUCCAGGACUAUAGUUACAGUUAUUCUUGUGGUUAAAAUGAAAUCAUGUGAGUAACCAUAUCCAGUCUAUCAUGAGUAACGAUAUCCAUUCCAUAGAUUUCUAUAUGUUGCUACGGAAAACCUAUUUCCCCCCUUUCCCUUUAUAAAGGUUUGUAACUUUGGUUGAAAAUGCAAAGUGAAAUAAACAUAUU